AUCACUAAUAACUGUACAGUUUUACUUGAGGGAUUGGGAGUCCUUGGAUCCACUCCAGCACUUCUCAGAGAGAUCACUGUUUUCGGUGGCAAAGAAGAUGGCAGCAGGCCAAAAUGACAAGUCGGAGGUGCCAAAAUGACAGCUGAUGUCCCUCUCAAAUGGCAGGUUCCAGAGAGGAUGAUGAAGCAUCCAACCAGACAGAAGCGAUGUAUCUCUCAGGUAUGACCUGAUGAAGUUCUGCUGGAUGUGGAGCUUCAAAGACCGGCCUGUGUUGUCAGCCAUCAUCAAGCUUCUGGAGUCCUACACAUUCCUGGCUGGCACUAGACAUCUACAUCCCAGAUGGCAUAGACAUCUUUGACUACACCAAGAGGGCAGGUGUGCUCCUCUAAAUAUCUAGCCUAAAGCAUCACAUUCAUGAAGAGGCUAAAAGCAAGCAGGGGCAGACUGGCCAUCUGGCAUUUCUGGCAUAUGCCAGAUGGCUGGUCCAUUUUUAGCUCAGUGAGCCUGUUAAUGAUAAUUUUCAACCAAAAAAAGUUCUGGCAAUUAUCUGCCGAUAAGCUAGGAUUUGGCCAGUGAGGGGGGCCUCAAAUGGCCUGGUGUGUUAGACGCCAGGGCCGAUUUCUGGUCCCAGUCUGCCCCUGAAAGCAAGGAUUUGGUCCCUUACAAAGUAUGGCUGUAGUUGAUUCUAGGUUCAUGUGUACUGUACUGUGGUAUCAACAUCCAGAGAGAUUUUAUUAAACCGAGAUGAAAUGUUGUAAAUGAUUUAACAUAAGGGUGUGUAAGUAUUGUAUGGCGACUGCAACCUAUAGCCUUAUUGUAAGAUUGCACAAAAUGUUGUACAACCACACUGGGGAUUUUUGGAUGAGUGAGACUUUCAGCACAAAAUGGACGUCAGGAAGAAAAAUCUUCUAAUGUUAUUGUCACAAUCCCUCACCUCACAUGUUUGGUCCAUCAGUAGUGAAUUCUUUUUGAAAUUGUACAGAUAUAAUAAGCGUUCUUGAUGUCAUCUUGUCAUGAAACCAGGCAAGUCAUUAUAAAUCACCACUUUAUUGUCAAAGGUACAGAAUAAAAAAUACAGAUCUUCAUAAUACGUUUACUGGUUUAUAAUUGGGUGAGUAUCACUCUUGUGCAUUGAACUGUAGUAAUGAGGCAUGUAUUGUGGUCAUACAGUUGAAGUCACUGAUCACGCUACGUACAAUUGGCCUUUAAGUGUACUUCACUCCCUCUACGCUGUUGAUUUUGUUCAUAAAAUUGCUUGUCAUUGACC
This 1267-nucleotide long non-coding RNA is filed under the name Salmo salar (Atlantic salmon). Its description in RNAcentral is "lncRNA (ENSSSAG00000105641.1)". The record is from RNAcentral. Lineage: Eukaryota; Metazoa; Chordata; Actinopteri; Salmoniformes; Salmonidae.